This is a non-coding RNA of Syngnathus acus (greater pipefish), 172 nucleotides long. RefSeq annotates it as small Cajal body-specific RNA 1. The record is from RefSeq and is a predicted model, not a curated record. The transcript has a single exon. NCBI's taxonomy places the organism in Eukaryota, Metazoa, Chordata, Actinopteri, Syngnathiformes, Syngnathidae.
UUGCACCAGAUACAAGCCCGUCAGCCCAGUGAGUCCCAGCCGUUUUGCACGCUGGCCUCAAUCUCCAUGGCUGCACGGCUUCCGAACGGUGCGAGAGCAAUACCAAGCCCUGAUAUAUUUAAGCUUCUCAGUGGGGAGUGCCACUGUUGAGUUAUGGCUCAGAGGCACACCU